GACGAACGCUGGCGGCGUGCUUAACACACGCAAGUCGAACGGAAAGGCCCUGCUUUUGUGGGGUGCUCGAGUGGCGAACGGGUGAGUAACACGUGAGUAACCUGCCCUUGACUUUGGGAUAACUUCAGGAAACUGGGGCUAAUACCGGAUAGGAGCUCCUGCUGCAUGGUGGGGGUUGGAAAGUUUCGGCGGUUGGGGAUGGACUCGCGGCUUAUCAGCUUGUUGGUGGGGUAGUGGCUUACCAAGGCUUUGACGGGUAGCCGGCCUGAGAGGGUGACCGGCCACAUUGGGACUGAGAUACGGCCCAGACUCCUACGGGAGGCAGCAGUGGGGAAUAUUGCACAAUGGGCGGAAGCCUGAUGCAGCAACGCCGCGUGCGGGAUGACGGCCUUCGGGUUGUAAACCGCUUUCGCCUGUGACGAAGCGUGAGUGACGGUAAUGGGUAAAGAAGCACCGGCUAUCUACGUG
RNAcentral lists this ribosomal RNA (468 nucleotides) under uncultured bacterium. Its description in RNAcentral is "partial 16S ribosomal RNA". It matches the Rfam family "Bacterial small subunit ribosomal RNA", at positions 28 to 507 of the family's 1533-position model. The record is from RNAcentral.